RNAcentral lists this ribosomal RNA (499 nucleotides) under uncultured bacterium. Its description in RNAcentral is "bacterial SSU rRNA". It matches the Rfam family "Bacterial small subunit ribosomal RNA", at positions 25 to 518 of the family's 1533-position model. The record is from RNAcentral.
CAGGAUGAACGCUAGCGACAGGCCUAACACAUGCAGGUCGAGGGGCAGCACAAGGAGCAAUCUGAGGUGGCGACCGGCGCACGGGUGAGUAACACGUAUGCAACCUGCCUGUAAGCGGGGAAUAACCCGUUGAAAGACGGACUAAUACCGCAUAAUACUAAAUUACUGCAUGGUAAUUUAUUUAAACAUUUAUGGCUUACAGAUGGGCAUGCGCAUGAUUAGCUAGUUGGAGAGGUAACGGCUCCCCAAGGCAACGAUCAUUAGGGGUUCUGAGAGGAAGGUCCCCCACACUGGUACUGAGACACGGACCAGACUCCUACGGGAGGCAGCAGUGAGGAAUAUUGGUCAAUGGACGAGAGUCUGAACCAGCCAAGUCGCGUGCAGGAAGAAUGUCCCUAUGGAUUGUAAACUGCUUUUGCAGGGGAAUAAAGUGCAUCACGUGUGAUGUUUUGUAUGUACUCUGCGAAUAAGGAUCGGCUAACUCCGUGCCAGCAGCGGC